RNAcentral lists this ribosomal RNA (257 nucleotides) under uncultured bacterium. Its description in RNAcentral is "partial 16S ribosomal RNA". It matches the Rfam family "Bacterial small subunit ribosomal RNA", at positions 29 to 314 of the family's 1533-position model. The record is from RNAcentral.
AACGAACGCUGGCGGCAGGCCUAACACAUGCAAGUCGAACGCCCUAGCAAUAGGGAGUGGCAGACGGGUGAGUAACGCGUGGGAACGUACCCUUCGGUUCGGAAUAACCCACGGGAACUUAGGACUAAUACCGGAUACGUGCGAGAGCAGAAAGAUUUAUCGCCGAAGGAUCGCCCGCGUCCGAUUAGCUAGUUGGUGAGGUAAUGGCUCACCAAGGCGACGAUCGGUAGCUGGCUGAGAGGAUGAUCAGCCACCAC